Molecule: long non-coding RNA, 172 nt
Organism: Haliotis rubra (blacklip abalone)
Lineage: Eukaryota; Metazoa; Mollusca; Gastropoda; Lepetellida; Haliotidae
Exons: 3
Source: RefSeq, a predicted model, not a curated record
CAUGAACCCCUUGAUAACCAACGCUCGUUAAUGGUACUAGGGAUCCUUCCACACCUGUAUCAUGACCCCAUUGAUAACCAACACUCGUUACAGGUACUUGAACACCUGUAUCAUGACCUCCUUGAUAACCAACCCUUGUUACAGGUACUUGCACACCUGUAUCAUGACCCCC